This 71-nucleotide transfer RNA is filed under the name Camelus bactrianus (Bactrian camel). It matches the Rfam family "tRNA". From Rfam's summary of the family: Transfer RNA (tRNA) molecules are approximately 80 nucleotides in length. Their secondary structure includes four short double-helical elements and three loops (D, anti-codon, and T loops). RNAcentral also lists the same sequence under 2 other names. The record is from Rfam by way of RNAcentral. Lineage: Eukaryota; Metazoa; Chordata; Mammalia; Artiodactyla; Camelidae.
GAGGGUAUAGCUCAGUGGUAGAGCAAAUGCUUAGCAUGCAUGAGUCCUGGGUUCAAUCCCCAAUACCUCUA